AUACAGGCGAGAGACCGAUAGCGGACAAGUACCGUGAGGGAAAGAUGAAAAGAACUUUGGAAAGAGAGUUAAACAGUACGUGAAAUUGUUGAAAGGGAAACGCUUGAAGUCAGUCGCGUCUUCCAGGACUCAGCCUUGCUUCUGCUUGGUGUACUUCCUGGCGGAUGGGCCGGCAUCGAUUUUGAUCGCCGGAAAAGGGCGGGAGGAAUGUGGCAGCUUGCUGUGUUAUAGCCUCCCGUCGUACACGGUGGUUGGGAUCGAGGACUGCAGCACGCCUUUGGUCGGGGUUCGCCCACGCCACGUGCUUAGGAUGCUGGCGUAAUGGCUUUAAACGACCCGUCUUGAAACACGGACC
RNAcentral lists this ribosomal RNA (355 nucleotides) under uncultured fungus. RNAcentral describes it as "LSU rRNA". It matches the Rfam family "Eukaryotic large subunit ribosomal RNA", at positions 320 to 667 of the family's 3401-position model. The record is from RNAcentral. Lineage: Eukaryota; Fungi.